Molecule: ribosomal RNA, 658 nt
Filed under: Pediococcus pentosaceus
Lineage: Bacteria; Bacillati; Bacillota; Bacilli; Lactobacillales; Lactobacillaceae
Description: bacterial SSU rRNA
Rfam family: Bacterial small subunit ribosomal RNA
Source: RNAcentral
GAGUGGCGAACGGGUGAGUAACACGUGGGUAACCUGCCCAGAAGUAGGGGAUAACACCUGGAAACAGAUGCUAAUACCGUAUAACAGAGAAAACCGCAUGGUUUUCUUUUAAAAGAUGGCUCUGCUAUCACUUCUGGAUGGACCCGCGGCGUAUUAGCUAGUUGGUGAGGUAAAGGCUCACCAAGGCAGUGAUACGUAGCCGACCUGAGAGGGUAAUCGGCCACAUUGGGACUGAGACACGGCCCAGACUCCUACGGGAGGCAGCAGUAGGGAAUCUUCCACAAUGGACGCAAGUCUGAUGGAGCAACGCCGCGUGAGUGAAGAAGGGUUUCGGCUCGUAAAGCUCUGUUGUUAAAGAAGAACGUGGGUAAGAGUAACUGUUUACCCAGUGACGGUAUUUAACCAGAAAGCCACGGCUAACUACGUGCCAGCAGCCGCGGUAAUACGUAGGUGGCAAGCGUUAUCCGGAUUUAUUGGGCGUAAAGCGAGCGCAGGCGGUCUUUUAAGUCUAAUGUGAAAGCCUUCGGCUCAACCGAAGAAGUGCAUUGGAAACUGGGAGACUUGAGUGCAGAAGAGGACAGUGGAACUCCAUGUGUAGCGGUGAAAUGCGUAGAUAUAUGGAAGAACACCAGUGGCGAAGGCGGCUGUCUGGUCUGCA